UACAGAGGUCUCAAGCGUUGUUCGGAUUCAUUGGGCGUAAAGGGUGCGUAGGUGGCAUGGUCAGUCGGAUGUGAAAUCCCGGGGCUCAACCCCGGAACUGCAUUCGAUACUGCCGCGCUAGAGUACUGGAGAGGAGAUUGGAAUUUACGGUGUAGCAGUGAAAUGCAUAGAUAUCGUCAAGAACACCGAUAGCGAAGGCAGCUUACUGGGCUGUAACUGACGCUGAGGCACGAAAGUGUGGGGAUCAAACAGG
Molecule: ribosomal RNA, 253 nt
Filed under: uncultured bacterium
Lineage: Bacteria
Description: partial 16S ribosomal RNA
Rfam family: Bacterial small subunit ribosomal RNA
Source: RNAcentral